GACUCGAGCUAGAUAUCAAGCGAGGGAAUAGGCAAAGUGCUGGUUAUCUUCCUUAAACCUCUUCUCCUCCUCAGCUAAAGCACUCAAUAUUAGCUCUUAAUUCUUAAAAAUAGUCUUUUAAUGAAAGAUAAAUCCAAUUAUUGCUUGGUCUGAGUAUUAGCCUGCCACAAGAGGUCUAAAUUGGUGUUGUGACAAACAAAACUACUCUUUAACAUUGACACAAUAAUGGCUGGAGGGAACGGUUUGAAGGGAAAUACAAGACUCAAUGAAGCCUCAUCAUCAUCAAGAGGGAAAAUUGUGGCUGAAAAUAAUACAAGACAACAGGAUUUAGACAAGACCAAGCAAACGGAGAAAGUUAGCUUUUACAAGCUCUUCUCCUUUGCUGAUUCCACUAAUAGAGUUUUGAUGAUCAUUGGAACUAUUGCAGCCAUCGGUAGCGGAUGAUCCCUGCCCAUUAUGACAAUAUAUUUUGGAGAAUUGACUGACUCCUUCGGACAAAAUCGAAGAAACAAAGAUCUGCUUCGGUUAGUCUCUAGGGUCUCACUGAAAUUUGUCUACUUGGCUUUGUGAUGUGGAGCAGCUGCAUUUUUUUUGAGAUUGCUUGUUGGAUGAUCUCCGGUGAAAGACAGGCUUCUCGAAUAAGGAGUCUCUAUCUAAAAACUAUUUUGCAGCAAGAUAUUGCUUUCUAUGAUAAGGAAAGAAAUACAAAAAGGUGGUUGGGAGGAUGUCUGGUGACACUCUUCUUAUAAAAGGCGCAAUAGAAGGUAGAAGUAUCCCUCAUCCUAUCUAGAAUGGUGUCCGUGGACAAGAUGUUUAUGCCAAGGCUGCAUCAUUUACAGAUGAGAAGCAAGCUGCAGCCAGCUAUAAUGAGUCCUUGAUUAAAGCUUGCCAUUCAGGUUCAAAUGAAGGGCUGACAAGUGUCACUUUCUGAUAUUAUGUACUGCAGCUACGCUUUGGCUAUCUGGGUCGUGAAAUGUGACACACAACUCAUAUGUAGUUGAAUUGUUUUGACACUGCAAGAAAUUUAGUUGUGCCGAUACUCAAAUUGAAAAGAUUACCACUGCUUGACCAUUGUAAGGAACGGUGACAAUUGCAGUGAUGCUACACCGUCUAAGACUCAGAGGAGUGACUCGAAAACAAAGGAAGUUAGUACUUUUUUUUAUUUUGAUUCUGCAAAUCUGCCAGAGAGCACGUGCUGGAUUCAGGUGGAUAGUUCUGAAGGAACCUUCUACCCAUUACUUGCAUCUAUUCUCUUCUUUGUGAUAUUUAAAAGCUAUAUCUAAUUAAGGUUUUAGCUUCUAUCCUUCAAAAGAAUUUAAGUUUUUAAUGUUACAUUGAUGAUGUGUUUGGCUUUGUAUGAAUACAUAGUAAUACGUACAAUAACCAUUAACAAUAUAAUUCUACCAAGCUUGACAAUC
This is a long non-coding RNA of Solanum dulcamara, 1418 nucleotides long. RefSeq lists it as uncharacterized. The record is from RefSeq and is a predicted model, not a curated record. NCBI's taxonomy places the organism in Eukaryota, Viridiplantae, Streptophyta, Magnoliopsida, Solanales, Solanaceae. The transcript has 8 exons.